RNAcentral lists this ribosomal RNA (429 nucleotides) under uncultured bacterium. RNAcentral's name for it is "bacterial SSU rRNA". It matches the Rfam family "Bacterial small subunit ribosomal RNA", at positions 355 to 776 of the family's 1533-position model. The record is from RNAcentral.
UGGGGAAUAUUGGACAAUGGGCGAAAGCCUGAUCCAGCAAUGCCGCGUGUGUGAAGAAGGCCUUCGGGUCGUAAAGCACUUUUAGUAAAGAAGAAAUACUCAAGGUUAAUAACCUUGGGGGAUGACGUUAUUUACAGAAAAAGCACCGGCUAACUCUGUGCCAGCAGCCGCGGUAAUACAGAGGGUGCGAGCGUUAAUCGGAAUUACUGGGCGUAAAGCGUGCGUAGGUGGAUACCUAAGUCGGGUGUGAAAUCCCCGGGCUCAACCUGGGAACUGCAUUCGAUACUGGGUAUCUGGAGUAUAGUAGAGGAAAGCGGAAUUCCCGGUGUAGCGGUGAAAUGCGUAGAUAUCGGGAGGAACAUCAAUGGCGAAGGCGGCUUUCUGGACUAAUACUGACACUGAGGCACGAAAGCGUGGGGAGCAAACAGG